UCCUUUAUUUGUCUGGAUCGGAUUGUUAUUUGAAUCAAUCUCCAGAUAUAAUGAGGGAAA
This is a non-coding RNA of Pristionchus pacificus, 60 nucleotides long. The record is from Rfam. NCBI's taxonomy places the organism in Eukaryota, Metazoa, Nematoda, Chromadorea, Rhabditida, Neodiplogasteridae.